Molecule: ribosomal RNA, 503 nt
Filed under: uncultured bacterium
Lineage: Bacteria
Description: partial 16S ribosomal RNA
Rfam family: Bacterial small subunit ribosomal RNA
Source: RNAcentral
AUUGAACGCUGGCGGCAGGCUUAACACAUGCAAGUCGAGCGGAGUGAUGGUGCUUGCACUAUCACUUAGCGGCGGACGGGUGAGUAAUGCUUAGGAAUCUGCCUAUUAGUGGGGGACAACAUCUCGAAAGGGAUGCUAAUACCGCAUACGUCCUACGGGAGAAAGCAGGGGAUCACUUGUGACCUUGCGCUAAUAGAUGAGCCUAAGUCGGAUUAGCUGGUUGGUGGGGUAAAGGCCUACCAAGGCGACGAUCUGUAGCGGGUCUGAGAGGAUGAUCCUGCACACUGGGACGGAGACACGGCCCAGACUCCUACGGGAGGCAGCAGUGGGGAAUAUUGGACAAUGGGGGGAACCCUGAUCCAGCCAUGCCGCGUGUGUGAAGAAGGCCUUAUGGUUGUAAAGCACUUUAAGCGAGGAGGAGGCUCUUUUGGUUAAUACCCAAGAUGAGUGGACGUUACUCGCAGAAUAAGCACCGGCUAACUCUGUGCCAGCAGCCGCAGUAA